RNAcentral lists this ribosomal RNA (320 nucleotides) under Aurantiochytrium limacinum. RNAcentral describes it as "partial Bacterial large subunit ribosomal RNA". It matches the Rfam family "Bacterial large subunit ribosomal RNA", at positions 1414 to 1736 of the family's 2925-position model. The record is from RNAcentral. Lineage: Eukaryota; Bigyra; Thraustochytrida; Thraustochytriidae.
GGUGAUGGGGAGCGCGGGACCUGAACCGGGGAGGCAAGCGCAUUAACAGGUGUGACGCAGGAAGGUAGCCGGGCCGGGCAAUGGAAAUGACCUGGUCUAAGGGUGUAGGGCUGCCGGUAGGUAAAUCCGCCGGCUGUAUGCCUGAGACCUGAUGGGCGCCCACAUGGUGGGUGAUCCGGUGAUCCUAUGCUGCCUAGAAAAGCAUCGGCGCGAGGUUCAAACUGCCCGUACCCUAAACCGACACAGGUGGUCAGGUAGAGAAUACUAAGGCGAUCGAGAGAAUCAUGGUUAAGGAACUCGGCAAAAUGCCCCCGUAACUU